This is a long non-coding RNA of Diabrotica virgifera virgifera (western corn rootworm), 1336 nucleotides long. RefSeq lists it as uncharacterized. The transcript is spliced from 2 exons. Lineage: Eukaryota; Metazoa; Arthropoda; Insecta; Coleoptera; Chrysomelidae. The record is from RefSeq and is a predicted model, not a curated record.
UGAAGUUACAAAAUGAAAAUCGAUUUUUUCGAAUAUAUCGAAAACUGUUAGAGAUUUUUUAUUGAAAAUGGAUAUGUGGCAUUCUUACGGCAGGAGCAUUGUAGCGUUUACUUUACACUACCCCUCAAAAUUUUCUUGGCUACGCCUAUGAUAUAUGGAUCGGUACCAUCGGAUCGAAGCGCCGAUCGUUGACCGUAUCCGAGAAGCAAUUCAGUCUGGGUUCUACGACUGAGCGAACAACAUCGCUUUGAAUUUUAAGGUGGCAUCUGAGUUUAAAUAAAGAACACGUGGAAGCAAAUAAAUUAAUAUGUCCACAGGAAUAUAACAUCAAUAUCAGUUACAGCAACAUUGGAAGUCUUGAGUAAAUACCAAAAAGGAAAUAGCAACAAAUUUAAAUUUAAGUUUCAACCAGUAAUGCCGGUCAUUAUAAAACUCAGAUAGCCACCUUAAUUAUGGGACCAUCUCCUACUUUGGAGUACCCAAUUUUGCAUUGUUUUUGAAAGACAAAACCAUUACUUGAUUCCACAGCUACCAAUAUAGCAACUGUUUUGGCUACUAUCUCACAUCAAUCCAUCAGCUUUGUAUGUGGCAGUUCAUUACCUUCUGAUCGAUGAUCAUCUUAAGAGGACUUCAUUGGACAACAGUGUGUUUUUGAAAAGAUAAGGCUAUAUUUUUUUUAUUGUUACUUAAAUUCCUAAUAACUUUGGAUUUUUGUGUACUUUUUGUAAACUGCUCUAUAUCGAUAUAAACCAGGUACAUUUUAUAGUUCUUUGUAAAAUAGGGGGGUUUGUUUUUCUCUUUAAGAGAGUUGUAUUUCAAGUAAAAGGUAAAUAAGUAAUGGUCAAUAAUAAUUCUAAAUAAAUUCAGGCAUAAAAUUUAAUAAGAAAGUAAAUACAUUAUUACAAGGAUUUUCACAUUUAAAUAUUAUUCAAUUUAUAUAUAUAUGUCAUUGAACCCGACUCAUUUCAAUAAAUUUCAGAUAUUUCCCAGCAUCUAUAGUGUAAGCGUAGUUCUUCCAUAUAGAUCUGGUAUGUAAGAUUUGGACACUUGAUAGUCCAGUUAGAUAUUAAGUACUAACAAUAUUAUUAAGACGUUGGCUAUUCUCACGGACUCAAUGCUACAUUUCUACUAAUACCUUUUUGCUUAGCGCAGUAGUGGUUUUUUUUUGUAUUUACUAGUGGCUUUUCGGUCGUAUUUUAUCUCAACACCCUACUGUUUUCAUGGUUUCUAUUUACCUAAUAUGUAAAUAAAGUAUGUAUACUUUUACUUACUUUAUAGAUUUAUUUAACAGAUAUUGUUUAAUAUAAAUAAAUUAUCAAUAUAUUUGUCAUUCAUA